UACAUGAAUACUUUCCAAAUGCACUGUAGGUAGGGGAAAAUUGACAAUGCAUAGAUAAUAAACAGUGAGUAGCAGUAGAAUAUAAAAUGUCUAGGUCAAUGCUAAUAGUCCAGGAAACCAUUUGUUUAAUUUUUCAGCAGUCUUAUGGUUUGGGGGUAGAAGCUGUUAAGGAACCUUUUGGAGCUAGACUUGGCGCUCCGGUAGUGCUUGCCAUGCGGCGGCAGAGAGAACAGUCUAUAACUAGGGUGGCUGGAGUCUUUGACAAUUUUUAGGGACUUCUUUUGACACCUCCUGGUAUAGUGGUCCUGGAUGGCAGGAAGCUUGGUCCCGGUGAUGUACCCUCUGUAGCGCCUUGUGUUCUGCUGCCGAGCAGUUGCCAUACCAUGCAAUCGGUCAGGAUGCUCUCGAUGGUGCAGCUGUAGAGCGUUUUGAGGAUCUGAGGACCCAUGCCAAAUCAUUUUCAGUCUCCUGAGGGGGAAUAGGCAUUAUCGUGCCCUCUUCACUGUCUUGGUGUGUAUGGACCAUGAUAGUGUCAUGACAUGACUACCAUUAAUGUGUUGAUGGCUAUUUUAUCAAAUCAAUUAACUGUGUUGAAUUAAUACAUUAUUAAAUUAAUCAUGUAACAAUGACCUCAUUAGUAACUUGGGGCACCAUGGAAAAAGUUUGUUUUAUGAGUUACUGUUUCCCAAAUUAACUCAAGAAUAUAUUAGAAUAUAUCAUUAUCAUACCAGUCAUCCAUUAAUCAUUAUUUCCUCAUAUCAGUCUCAUUCUAACAUUGUAAAAUUCUUGGAUAUCUGCAGGAACCCAAGUCUAAAUAAUGAUUCAGAGAUGCACAAAUUGGUUUAAUUAUUUAUUUACUAACUAAAUAAUCACACAGACAUACACAAACAGUAUAGGUUGAAUUGAUUUCUAACAUAAUGCAAUGAAAAGUCCCUAGUGGACUAACUCGAUAUGAUGGCUUGUUACACCGUGAAAGGGGUGGGGACAGAAAGAGUGGGAGAGACAGAGAGUUGGAAAAAUAUGCUCAUGGGAAUGUGAAUACAUUUCACAUGAAUGACUGCUCAUUUGAAAAUAAUUGCAAUGUAUAUAUUAAUGCUUGUAUGUUUUUGUCGUUGCUCUCUGUUGACAUCGCACGGUCCGUCUAUGGGGAGUCGUUCGACAGAAGUCUCUGGUUUGUCCACCAGAGGUAACAAUGUCUUUUGUAGUUGUAGUAGGCUUUCUUUGUCUCUGAGUGUUCGUUAGACUGGAUCCUUCAGAUAUACACACGCGGUGGUCUUUGGGUCGAGUUUACUAGACUAACAGUACUUAAACAGCUGCAGACUGAAUGUUCCGAUGUAGUCUUUAUCUUCUUCACUCGCGUGGAGAGUUUCUAAACAUUUCGUAACGUUCAGCUCACGCUGUUGGUCACGCUGGUCUAUAUUUAAAUUGCAACCAUUUCAACGUUUUCAGCCCGCGCCAAAAUUACAUUUAAUCUUUUCACAAAUAGUUUCAUAUUUAAUCAUAUAAAGUUGGUGAAGACGAAUGUUCUGAAUGGACUCUAAAAUUGGAGUGUGUGUGAUACGUGUGUGAAUGAUAAGGAAUCGCUUCUUGUUGGGAUGCUUUUGUUGAGUAAGGGUGCAUAUGUGGGAGACCCGUUUGAGCUGUCGAAAAUGGUGAAGUAAUGCACUGGGAAAAGUGGAGUUUGUCAGAGUGAUCUGGAAUUGUUUAAUUUGGAUGAAUUGUAUUUAUGAAGAACAGAGAUUGCAGUGAGCCUUAAAAUAAUCUGGACAGGGCCUCCUGAGUGGCGCAGCGGUCUAAAGCACUGCAUCGCAGUGCUAGAGGCGUCACUACACACCCUGGUUCUGUGCCGCAGCCAGCUGCGACCGGGAGACCCAUGAGUGCGACUGGCUUCCGGGUUAAGCGAGCAGUGUGUCAAGAAGCAGUGUGGCUUGGCAGGGCUAUGUUUCGGAGGACGCAUGGCUCUCGACCUUCGCCUCUCCCGAGUCCGUACGGGAGUUUCAGCGAUGGGACAAGACUGUCACUAGCAAUUGGAUAUCACGAAAUUGGGGAGAAAAAGGGGUAAAAAGUCAAAUAUAUAUAUAACAUCCGGACAAUAGAAGUUUUGUGUUUUAAACUUCGGAGUAGAUCACCCAUCAAAGGAGUCAUGUCAGGGGUAACGACGGAUGUUCAGGUUCAAUACCUGAAGAGAAUUUGUAGUGUGGUUGGUGCCCGCCGUCAGACCCGCAGGGUGAAUGGAGAAAAAGAAAAAGGUCUGCCGGCCCACGUAUGUGAAGCUUAGUUUUGUAAGAUACACUGUAAGAGCUUUCAUCCCCAAACCAUUGCAGUGUAAGAAUUGUAAAGGAUUUGGCAAUGUUUCAAGUGUGUGCAGACGGACAGUUUAGUUUAGUUUAUUUAUUUAUUUUUGGAGUUUGCUAGUUUGUUCCAUUUUUAGGAAUCCUGUUUCCAUCCCGCACGGUAGUCGGUGGGAUGCACAUUAAAUUGUGCGAUCGUCAUAUACCAUAGAAGAAGAAGAAAUGUUUUGAGAAGAAUAAACAUUGUGAAAUGGACGAAAGAGGACAAUGUAUUGGCAGGGCAAAACACUCUUUCCCGACUGGUGUGAGGUCUAUCUACAGGUGACCAGGUGGACCUCUUCACCAGGCAGGCCUUCGCUGCAGUCUUACAUCACCAGCAAAGGUCUAUGAAGAGGUACUUUAUAUUAAGAUCGUGCUUCCAACCUGCCGCCUGGAUAUCUCAGUAUCCACGAGGGCAUCAUCAAGCAUUCUGGUCCAGUGAUUAAAUGGGUUGGUGGAGGAAAGCCAUUAUUAGGUGUCAACUCACCUGGUCCCUACUGAGUGUCUACACACAGAGUGAUGGUUCAUAUUGUAGCUCACGAGUAGGGACUGGAACAUCACCUCAGAUCCUAUGUGAAGUUUGUGUUCAAGCCAGAGCCGAACUCAGCCAGUGGGGUCCCUAACCCUCAGAGUGUCCAUGAGGAGCUGGCUAAAGCCAUGACAGCCAACCUCAACCCCUCCACUUACUUCCUCACCAGCAACAAACUGCUACUCGUGGUACUUCGUAGAAGCCCUGGUGAAGUCUAUGGCCCAGCAUAGGACCCAGAGUGGUAAAUUCAACCUGUCUAGCAAACCAAGUUUCUCUGCCUCCUUCCACCACACAGUAGAGAAAAAUGCUGAGGCCUCACAUCAACAAGAACUACAAGGACAAACUGGACGCUGCCCGAAACGCCAACCACAGUCUGGCAGUCUUGGAGUGCCAUAGACAGCCAACAAAAAAGUUGUUGGUUUCAUUCAAAAAAUUGCCACAUUUAGUUCUAUGGUAAUGCUAUUUUCUUGCUAUGAGGACUGAUGACUUAUUGUAUGCUACACAAAGCAAAAUAAAUACGUGCACCCUAUACUAUCAGGGUAGAUUAUUGGUGUUUCUUCUGCUAUGUAGAAACUAUUUGCUAGUCAUUUAAAUAAAAAAGUAAUAGUAAUUUACACAAUAACAGGGAAACAGAGCAUUGCUUUAGAAUACAGUGUCAAGACCCCAUAGGUACACUGAAACUAUGGGGAAACUGUACAGAAAGUAAGCUACACUGAAACAAUGGUCAUAGUAAUUUACACGGUAACGGGAACAGGGCAUUGCUUUAGAACACAGUCUCAAGGCCCCGCAGGUACACUGAUACUAUGGGGAAACUAUCCAGGAAGAAACAGUAAGGCACACAAACUGAUGAAAGUAGUAAGGAAUCUAAUAGUAAUUUACAGGGGAAGAGAGCGUUGCUUUAGAAUACAGUGUCUUGGCCCCAUAGGUACACUGAAACAAUAUGGUGAAACUACGCCUACGCAUGAAGUAACAAAUAAGGUACAUAAUAUGUACUUAAGUACAGUGCUGAAAUAACUGUAUAAUGAUAGGAAAGUAAUCGGAAACAAGACAAAAGGCAGCUACAAGCAAAGACCUAAACGUUUUUAGGAUGGUCCACAUAAAGCAUAAGUGAAAGUUCCAAGUACAUUCUUAAUAAGUAUACCCUCUAUUAUUGAUAGUUCUUUAUGUUCCUACAUAACAACCAGGAUAAUUCAUCACUAUUUAUAUCAGUACUUAGCAGCUACAAACAAAAUAUUAAUGGAUAAUUGGUGUUCAUGCCUGGUUGUUGCCAUCUUAUUUCAUAGUUUUUUUCCAGGUACUUUCCAGACAUUACCCUCUUAUUCAGCUAUCCUUGUGACCUAAGCCACCCUGCUAUUUCCUGUUUCCUGUGUUCCUCUGCCCUCAAAUUGGAGGAGAGCUGAGUAAAUGUAACCCAAUCAGCUUCAAGCUUUCAGCCUCUCUAGUAAUAGUAUUUUAUGUUCUCUCCUGUGUAGGGGGAUUAUUUGAUAAAACAAUGAAUUUGUUCUUACUGCCAUUAGCCCAUAGAAACACAUUCAAUAUUCAUACAUGGUAAAACAGAUUGUAAAGUCAAAAGUAUGUUUUGGGGGGGCGCUAGUGACAAACCCAUGGAGUAGGCCAAUUUUAUUUAUUUAAUAGUUUCUUUGUGCUUUGACCCGCUAAAGAACUAGAAAACGCAGCCUUUGAAUGACGUGCGUUACUUUGCCCAACUUUUAUUUUACUUUUAAUGUGUAAAUGGCGCAUAACCUGCAAAAGUUUAAGUUCAGCUGAGUCACUGACAAAAGAGAAAACACUAGUCCCAAGACGAGGAGCUCGAGUUCUUCAACAAGUGGGAGCAGCGGCUCCUCGGCUCUGCGAAAAAAUGUACACCAAGGAUUCGAAGGCCGAGAUUCUUGCUGCCCUCAGAGCGGACAUUUCAUCUACACUCAACUCGGAACUCAAGGAGGCGCUCAAUGAGGACUUUCAUUUUUAUUAAGUCGGAGUUACAAGCAGUCAAGAAUGAACUCACAAAGCAUACGGCAAUGGUUCGUACUGAACUGGAUACAAACUGUCUCCGACAUGGAAAAACUUGUCCCCAUGUCCCCAGACGAUACAACUACAGUACAAACCACGGCUAAGAAGCUCGAAACUGAUGUGGCUAGCCUUAAGCAACAAUGCAUACAUUUACAAGGUUAUAUGCAAAGAUCCAAUAUCAGGAUCAUGGGGGUAGCUGAGGACCCGGGCUCAAGUUCUACUUCAUCGGUCUCAAAGUUAUUGAAGGAAGCCCUCAAAUUGAAUAAAGACGUCCUUGUAGACCGCUCACAUCGGGACUCUCAAGCAAGUAAGCCUGGCGGAAAACCUUGCUUCAUUGUGGCUAAACUGCACUACUAUCAGCAUUGUAUGAUGUUCGUCGGCGUGUCAGAGAAUUUGUCCCACUUCGAUGCAACUGAGCACCCAUAAUCUAUCUUCCUGGACUAUGCCCCCAGCUUUGCUUGUGAACGUGUUGCUUUCAACGAUGUCAAGAGUCUGCUCUGUGGACAGACCGACGUCGGGUAUGGUGUGGCUUUUCCUACCCGGCUCUGUGUAACAUACACUGGCAUCGAAGGCUAUGGCCGUCGUAAAGGAGAACAUUCUACCAUGGUCAGAUGAAGCAAAUGGCUGAAUGUUCACCUAUUUGGCAAUUAGGGUAAUGGACGAAUGUGUUUACCUCUGCAGACUCAGUCUCUCUUUUGUAGAUACUGUAUAGUGUUGCCAGUGGUGUCAGUUGAUAUUGUUAUUAUCAGGCAACGUUAGUGCCUUAGUUCUGGUGAGCAAAUUUUUCUUUUGUUUUAAUGUUUCAUUUUAUUACCAUGAAGCUGCUCGUUUCUAUUUUUCUCGACGGUACUCGUAUCCAGGGUAGAUAAAGCACAGUUCUA
This is a long non-coding RNA of Oncorhynchus kisutch (coho salmon), 5750 nucleotides long. RefSeq lists it as uncharacterized. The record is from RefSeq and is a predicted model, not a curated record. NCBI's taxonomy places the organism in Eukaryota, Metazoa, Chordata, Actinopteri, Salmoniformes, Salmonidae. The transcript is spliced from 8 exons.